UACGUAGGUGACAAGCGUUGUCCGGAUUUACUGGGCGUAAAGAGCGCGCAGGCGGUCGAUCAAGUCGAGUGUGAAAGCCCCCGGCUCAACUGGGGAGGGUCAUUCGAUACUGAUCGACUCGAAGGCAGGAGAGGGUAGUGGAAUUCCCGGUGUAGUGGUGAAAUGCGUAGAUAUCGGGAGGAACACCUGAGGUGAAGACGGGUUGCUGGGCCGACACUGACGCUGAGUGCGCGAAAGCCAGGGGAGCAAACGGG
RNAcentral lists this ribosomal RNA (254 nucleotides) under uncultured bacterium. Its description in RNAcentral is "partial 16S ribosomal RNA". It matches the Rfam family "Bacterial small subunit ribosomal RNA", at positions 524 to 776 of the family's 1533-position model. The record is from RNAcentral.